Molecule: transfer RNA, 69 nt
Filed under: Submyotodon moupinensis
Lineage: Eukaryota; Metazoa; Chordata; Mammalia; Chiroptera; Vespertilionidae
Description: tRNA-His
Rfam family: tRNA
About the family: Transfer RNA (tRNA) molecules are approximately 80 nucleotides in length. Their secondary structure includes four short double-helical elements and three loops (D, anti-codon, and T loops). Further hydrogen bonds mediate the characteristic L-shaped molecular structure. tRNAs have two regions of fundamental functional importance: the anti-codon, which is responsible for specific mRNA codon recognition, and the 3' end, to which the tRNAs corresponding amino acid is attached (by aminoacyl-tRNA synthetases). tRNAs cope with the degeneracy of the genetic code in two manners: having more than one tRNA (with a specific anti-codon) for a particular amino acid; and 'wobble' base-pairing, i.e. permitting non-standard base-pairing at the 3rd anti-codon position.
Source: RNAcentral
GUAAAUAUAGUUUAACAAAAACAUUAGAUUGUGAAUCUAAUAACAGAAUUAUAAAAAUUCUUAUUUACC